This 670-nucleotide long non-coding RNA is filed under the name Cricetulus griseus (Chinese hamster). Its description in RNAcentral is "lncRNA (ENSCGRG00015040988.1)". The record is from RNAcentral. Lineage: Eukaryota; Metazoa; Chordata; Mammalia; Rodentia; Cricetidae.
CCUGGCUGGAGUUGGUUUCAUGAAGUGAAUGGUACCACGGGGACACAGGAGUCCUCUUCGGGGACCUGUCUGACAGCUCAGUCCAUACUGUUCCCAGGGCUGUUCUGGAUGCCCUGGUCCUGGCAGGGUUGGUCAGUUUGAAGACAUACAGAAUGGUUGAUUGGUCUGAAAUUGGCCUGUGAUGCAUCCUCAUCCAGUUUUCAACUUGUUGAGGCAGUCCAUCAGCAGGGGCCCUGCUGGUGGGAGACAGAAGCUCCCACACUGUCUCCCCUAUCUCUGAAGUUCACAACCUUUACUACCUAGCCAGGACCCAUCAUCUCCUUAUCUGUCUGCACCAGAUCCUGCAGGGAAGGAAGCAAAGAGAGGCAAGCGUCCAAACAAUCCAAGAGCCAACAUCCCUGGGCUGCCCUCCUGCUCUGAGCUCGUGGCACUCGACUUCCUCAACUGAAAGGAGGAACCGUCGCAGGCAGGCUUACAGUGUGCGUCCUCCCCAGCAUCCUGCUCCAGGGUCCAAAGCCAGACUACACCUGUGUCCCGCGGACACCCCGCAGGGACCCUGCAGCUGCUAGGCUACGUGGACUGCCCUGCAGUGCUAUGGCUCAGGCCCGCAGCGAGCCUCGCGGGCUUCUGGCCUGAGGUCCACCCCCAGCCACAGGCCACUGCCCGGGAG